Molecule: ribosomal RNA, 511 nt
Filed under: Lactobacillus delbrueckii subsp. bulgaricus
Lineage: Bacteria; Bacillati; Bacillota; Bacilli; Lactobacillales; Lactobacillaceae
Description: partial 23S ribosomal RNA
Rfam family: Bacterial large subunit ribosomal RNA
Source: RNAcentral
AAGGACGCGACUAACCGCGAAAGUCUUCGGGGAGCCGUAAGUAGGCUUUGAUCCGGAGGUCUCCGAAUGGGGGAACCCAGCAUGUGCAGACAUGCUAUCCUUAAGUGAAUACAUAGCUUAAGGAGGGAACACGCAGUGAACUGAAACAUCUAAGUAGCUGCAGGAAGAGAAAGAAAUAUCGAUUUCCCAAGUAGCGGCGAGCGAACAGGAAAGAGCCCAAACCGGCAGAUUUAUCUGCCGGGGUUGUAGGACUGAGACAUGGCACUUCAGAGGAUAGCAGAAGCGUUUGGGAAAGCGCGCCAGAGAGGGUGAGAGCCCCGUAAGCGAAAUCCAAAGAAGGCCUAUCAGUAUCCUGAGUAGGGCGGGACACGUGAAAUCCCGUUUGAAUCCGCGAGGACCAUCUCGCAAGGCUAAAUACUAACCAGUGACCGAUAGUGAACCAGUACCGUGAGGGAAAGGUGAAAAGAACCCCGGGAGGGGAGUGAAAGAGAACCUGAAACCGUGUGCCUAC